UGGGAGAGCUUUUUCGGUUGACCCGCCGGACCAGGGACGGGGGGGGACUAAGACAUGCAAGUCGUGCGUCUCUAGGCUAUGGAGAGACGCGGCGUACGGCUCAGUAACACGUGGCUAACCUACCCUUAGGACGGGGACAACCCCGGGAAACUGGGGCUAAUCCCCGAUAGGUGAGGAGGCCUGGAAUGGUUCCUCACCGAAAAGGCGUUGAAACCAUGCUUUUCAACGUCGCCUAAGGAUGGGGCCGCGCCCGAUCAGGUUGUUGGUGAGGUAACGGCUCACCAAGCCUUUGACCGGUACGGGCCGUGAGAGCGGGAGCCCGGAGAUGGGCACUGAGACAAGGGCCCAGGCCCUACGGGGCGCAGCAGUCGCGAAAACUCCGCAAUGCGCGAAAGCGUGACGGGGCUACCCCGAGUGCCGUCCGCUGAGGAUGGCUUUUCCCCGGUGUAAUGAGCCGGGGGAAUAAGGAGAGGGCAAGCCUGGUGUCAGCCGCCGCGGUAAUACCAGCUCUCCGAGUGGUAGGGACGAUUAUUGGGCUUAAAGCGUCCGUAGCCGGCUUAGCAAGUCUCCUGUUAAAUUCAGCGACCUAAUCGUUGAAACGCGGGAGAUACUACUAGGCUAGGAGGCGGGAGAGGCCGACGGUAUUCCCGGGGUAGGGGUGAAAUCCUAUAAUCCCGGGAGGACCACCAGUGGCGAAGGCUGUCGGCUAGAACGCGCUCGACGGUGAGGGACGAAAGCUGGGGGAGCGAACCGGAUUAGAUACCCGGGUAGUCCCAGCCGUAAACGAUGCGGGCUAGGUGUUGAGGUGGCUACGAGCCACUUCAGUGCCGCAGGGAAGCCAUUAAUCCCGCCGCCUGGGGAGUACGGCCGCAAGGCUGAAACUUAAAGGAAUUGUUUGGGGAAGCACCACAAGGCGUGAAGCUUCCCCUUCUCUUGAUCAACCCCUUAUUGUUCCCCCCCUGCACAUCGCCGAUAAGGAGCUCCCCCGCGUUGGAUGCGUAGAGGUGAGUAUUCUAUAGUGUCGCACUAGUAGCUCGGCGUAGUCAUGUGCAAG
This 1054-nucleotide ribosomal RNA is filed under the name uncultured archaeon. RNAcentral's name for it is "partial 16S ribosomal RNA". It matches the Rfam family "Archaeal small subunit ribosomal RNA". The record is from RNAcentral.